This 221-nucleotide ribosomal RNA is filed under the name uncultured archaeon. RNAcentral's name for it is "partial 16S ribosomal RNA". It matches the Rfam family "Archaeal small subunit ribosomal RNA", at positions 468 to 689 of the family's 1478-position model. The record is from RNAcentral.
CGGUAAUACCAGCUCUCCGAGUGGUAGGGAUGAUUAUUGGGCUUAAAGCGUCCGUAGCCGGCUUAGCAAGUCUCCUGUUAAAUUCAGCGACCUAAUCGUUGAGCCGCGGGAGACACUACUAGGCUAGGAGGCGGGAGAGGCCGACGGUAUUCUCGGGGUAGGGGUGAAAUCCUAUAAUCCCGGGAGGACCACCAGUGGGGAAGGCUGUCGGCUAGAACGCG